This 475-nucleotide ribosomal RNA is filed under the name uncultured bacterium. RNAcentral's name for it is "bacterial SSU rRNA". It matches the Rfam family "Bacterial small subunit ribosomal RNA", at positions 28 to 473 of the family's 1533-position model. The record is from RNAcentral.
GACGAACGCNGGCGGCGUGCUUAACACAUGCAAGUCGAACGAAGAGCGACGGAAGCUUGCUUCUAUCAAUCUUAGUGGCGAACGGGUGAGUAACGCGUAAUCAACCUGCCCUUCAGAGGGGGACAACAGUUGGAAACGACUGCUAAUACCGCAUACGAUCUAAUCUCGGCAUCGAGGAUAGAUGAAAGGUGGCCUCUACAUGUAAGCUAUCACUGAAGGAGGGGAUUGCGUCUGAUUAGCUAGUUGGAGGGGUAACGGCCCACCAAGGCGAUGAUCAGUAGCCGGUCUGAGAGGAUGAACGGCCACAUUGGGACUGAGACACGGCCCAGACUCCUACGGGAGGCAGCAGUGGGGAAUCUUCCGCAAUGGACGAAAGUCUGACGGAGCAACGCCGCGUGAGUGAUGACGGCCUUCGGGUUGUAAAGCUCUGUUAAUCGGGACGAAAGGCCUUCUUGCAAAUAGNGAGAAGGAUGAC